This 588-nucleotide ribosomal RNA is filed under the name uncultured fungus. RNAcentral describes it as "eukaryotic LSU rRNA". It matches the Rfam family "Eukaryotic large subunit ribosomal RNA", at positions 38 to 667 of the family's 3401-position model. Lineage: Eukaryota; Fungi. The record is from RNAcentral.
GCAUAUCAAUAAGCGGAGGAAAAGAGACCAACAGGGAUUGCCUUAGUAACGGCGAGUGAAGCGGCAAAAGCUCAAAUUUGAAAUCGGCCACCAGGUCGAGUUGUAAUUUGUAGAUUGUAUCUUGAGAGCGGAUUAAAGUCUGUUGGAACACAGCGCCUUAGAGGGUGACAGCCCCGUAAAAUCUAUUCUCAUUGUAAGAUACUUUCGAAGAGUCGAGUUGUUUGGGAAUGCAGCUCUAAGUGGGAGGUAAAUUCCUUCUAAAGCUAAAUAUUGACGAGAGACCGAUAGCGAACAAGUACUGUGAAGGAAAGAUGAAAAGCACUUUGAAAAGAGAGUGAAAAAGUACGUGAAAUUGUUAAAAGGGAAGGGUAUUGAAUCAGACUUGGUGCUGUUGUUCAACUGUGUUUUGGCACAGUGUACUCAGCAGUACUAGGCCAAGGUGGGGUGUUUGGGAGUGAAAAAGAAGUAGGAACGUAACUCUUCGGAGUGUAAUAGCCUACUCUCAUAGCUCCUCAGGCGCCUCAGGACUGCGCUUCGGCAAGGACCUUGGCAUAAUGAUUCUAUACCGCCCGUCUUGAAACACGGACC